GGGUAGGUAGUCUAGCUUGGUAUGAUUCCGGCUUCGGGAGUCGGAGUUCGUGGGUUCAAAUCCCAUCCUACCCA
Molecule: transfer RNA, 74 nt
Filed under: Candidatus Helarchaeota archaeon
Lineage: Archaea; Promethearchaeati; Candidatus Helarchaeota
Description: tRNA-Pro
Rfam family: tRNA
About the family: Transfer RNA (tRNA) molecules are approximately 80 nucleotides in length.
Source: RNAcentral